This 99-nucleotide non-coding RNA is filed under the name Leptotrichia sp. RNAcentral describes it as "SAM-I sequence". It matches the Rfam family "SAM riboswitch aptamer (S box leader)". From Rfam's summary of the family: The SAM riboswitch is found upstream of a number of genes which code for proteins involved in methionine or cysteine biosynthesis in Gram-positive bacteria. The SAM riboswitch acts at the level of transcription termination control. The record is from RNAcentral. Lineage: Bacteria; Fusobacteriati; Fusobacteriota; Fusobacteriia; Fusobacteriales; Leptotrichiaceae.
AGCUUAUCAAGAGAGAUACUAGGGACAGGCCCGUUUUGAGUAUCCAGCAACCUGUAUUUACAAGGUGCUAAAUCCUGGCAUUAAAUGCGAAGAUAAGAA